Sus scrofa (pig) is the source of this 1272-nucleotide long non-coding RNA. RefSeq lists it as uncharacterized. NCBI's taxonomy places the organism in Eukaryota, Metazoa, Chordata, Mammalia, Artiodactyla, Suidae. The record is from RefSeq and is a predicted model, not a curated record.
AACCUCCAUAUGCCAUGAGUGCAGCCCCCAAAAAUAAAAAUAAUAAUAAAUACAAAAUAGGAACUGCCAUUUUCCUAUUUUCUCAUUAAAAAUAGAGACUUGUGAGGUGGCAUUCCGGAAUUUUGAUGUAUAUAAUGGGGAAUACUUUUAGCUCUUGUCUUGUCUAUCUGGGUUGGAUUAUAUGGUUUUGCCUGAAAAGAGCAGAAACUCUUAUGGUGGCUCUUAACAUUUUUGAGGCUAUCAUGAGGGAUUUGGUUGAGGGAUUCUCCUUUGAGAAUCUGAAAUCUAUGGUUCUUUCCCUAGAAAAAUGCACUUACAUGCUGGCAUUUUUCAGGGUGUUGACAGUGCUAAAGCCUAUCUAGAAAUCUCUGAUUUCUGCUCUCAUUCUUUUUUUUUUUCUUUCCAAUACUGAAAUUCCUUCAUUUGCUCUGAGGGGUAAUACCCACUGUGGAGCAGUUACAGAAAGAAUGGGAUUAGCAAAUGUCCCCUGAGUGCCCAUGAUAAUUUGUAGAUGUCUAGUAAAUGCUCCAUACGUGUUAGCUUGGUUGAGUCCAGUUAAAAAGAAGACUGAUAGCUGAAAUAUAGCUGAAAUCGACAGAAAUGCUGAUAACCAGUCUAUUCCUCUAAUGCCAAAAAUCAGUGAAUUUCCUGUAUCAUUUCUCUCUGGCUGCUUUCAAGAUUUUUUUUCUCCAUUCUUAGUUUUUAGAAGGUGAUCUAUGAUGUGUCUUGGCAUAAGUAUUUUUGGAUUUAUUCUGUUUGAAGUUCCUUCAGCUUGAACCUAUAUAUUUGUGUCUUUUCCCACAUUUAGGUAAUUUCCAGCCAUUAUUUUUUCAAUCCUAUUGACUACUUUCUUUCUUGGAAUUCCUGCCUUAUUACUGCCAGAUAGAGCAUUGAAAGUGCAAGUGGCCAAGUGGCAGCUUGUUGAAAAACUAAUGUGGUACCACAUGUACCAACUGUGAAGAACAAGCCAGGCCCAGGAAAUCUCAGAAGCUAUACAUCACAUGCACCUUUACCCUCUAAGGCUUUCUAAGCUCAACAGAAGCUUGUCAAAUUCCAUUUUCAACCUGAAUGUAGGAAAGUUUUCCCCUCAUCAUCAUAGGCUUACAAACUGAUAAAACUCAAAGGCAUCUGUGAAGAAAAGAAAAUGCGGCUUCCCUAAAGUUUCCUCAAGCCUUCCUUUUUGUACCUGAGUCCCUUGAAGAAAAGAAAAAGAGAGAGAAAAUAAUUGAAUCUAGGAGCUGGGAAUUCCUGUUGUGGCUCAGUGGGUUAAGA